This is an RNA transcript of Sander lucioperca (pikeperch), 9020 nucleotides long. It is a transcript of the gene named ATP-binding cassette, sub-family A (ABC1), member 2, with no coding region annotated. The transcript has 50 exons. The record is from RefSeq and is a predicted model, not a curated record. NCBI's taxonomy places the organism in Eukaryota, Metazoa, Chordata, Actinopteri, Perciformes, Percidae.
GGAAAAUUCAGAGGGAUUUUGGCCAGGCCGGAAGUGUACGUUUUCAUUACUCGGGUUAGCUUAAUAGCAGGCUGUGUCCACUGGUUUCCUGCUCCAACCCAGACCAUUGCACUGCUAAACGUAACGGAUUCCGUAGGAGAAGCUACCCGGAGCACCACUGAUACAUCCAUGCCACUGACACAGACAGAGGAUGACAGACGGAACACAACAGUCCCGUUACGACUUUUCCUGCCAGUCACUGGCAAAUAGGCAUUCUUCAACUAACUGAGUAACGUCAACGUUAGCUUCAUAUUAUUCAUUAUUAGCCAGCCCGACGCAUUUCAGCACCAUUACAGGCUCGGACGGGAUGCCUGCAACGGGACAGAAUUUCCCCGGUUAUUUAAAUGCAGUCCUAGGCCACCGCACGUUAUGCUAGUUUGGUAAAUUUAAUGACAUACUGAAGCAGAAGUGGGAGGCAAAAUGGGAUUCCUGCACCAGCUCCAUCUCCUGCUGUGGAAGAACAUCUCACUGAAAAGGAGGAGUCCGUGGGUGCUGUCCUUUGAGAUCUUCAUCCCACUGGUCCUCUUCUUCAUCCUCUUGGGUCUGAGGCAGAAGAAGCCAGCGAUUCCUGUCAAGGAAGUGUCCUUUUACAGCGCAGCCCCACUCACCUCGGCUGGCAUUAUUCCCAUCAUGCAGUCGCUGUGCCCAGAUGGACAAAGGGAUGAAUUUGGUUUCCUUCAGUACAAGAACUCCACUGUGACCCAGCUGCUGGAGCGGAUCAGUGAAGUGGUUGAACAGAACCGCCUCUUCACGUCUGACCGGCCUGGUUUGGGUCAUGAGCUUGAGACCCUGCAGCAGCACCUAGAGAGUCUCAGCUCAACCCCUUUACCACCGGACUACAACACCAGCUUUACGCUGGCCAGUGUGUUGAAGAACCAGUCGAUUUUCCAGCAGUUCCUAGUUAAGAACCUUUCCCUGUCCAACUCCACAACCAGCCUGUUGCUCAACACUCCAGUCAGCCUCAGAGAGGUGUACAGUGUUAUCUUUGUUACAUCUCUCAGAGAUGGAGGAGGGACCCAAAGUUGGAUUCAGGGGGCAAAAGGCGCCAGAAAAAAACCUGGAGACAGUGUUCAUCUGGAGGGGGCCCUCCUGACUGGAGCACUGCUGGAGAUCCUCACCUGUGGGGAGGGCAGGGCCAAUAAGCUCAGUAAGAUCCUGUUGGUGCCUGAGAAGCAGGGACCAUUGCUGCAGGCCUAUCGCAGCACAGUGUGCAGCGGAGGGGAGGGUCAAAGGUCAGAGCGCUUCAGGCUGAUGAGCCUUGAGCUGAGAGAACAGAUCAACACACAGAGUGUCACUGAGAAGCUUCACCUGGAACAGCCAAACUCUUUGGUUUCGCUCUCUCAGUCCGACCUCUGGGCCCUAUUGAAAGACCUGGCUGAUGUAGAGAGGCUCCUCAAGGACGUGGACCUGCUCUCUGGCCUGGCCCGCCUGCUGCCCAAAGGAGCCUGUACUGGUCGAACUCCAGCCUUCCCCACAAACAUGACCUGGCCCCUUAACACCACCACCUGGGGCCCUAACAUGACUGACAUCCCUGGAGAGAAAGGGGAGGAAGGAGCAGAGCGAGGUGGAGGAGCAGGAGAAGGGAAAGAGAAGGAGGAAGCAGAGAACCCUCACUCUCAGUUUUCAGCAUUUGUACAACUGUGGGCCGGACUGCAGCCGAUUCUGUGUGGGCACAACAGGAUCAUUGAGCCAGAGGCUUUGAAGCAGGGGAAUAUGAGUUCGCUGGGAUUCACCAGCAAAGAACAGAGGAAUCUGGGGCUACUGGUUCACUUGAUGACAAAAAAUCCCAAGAUCCUCUACUCCCCCAUUGGAUCCCAGGUUGAUAAAGUGAUUCAGAAGGCAAAUGAGACAUUUGCAUUCGUCGGUAACGUGACACACUACACCCAGGUGUGGCUCAACAUCUCCACCCAGCUCAGGGCUUUUCUGGAGGCGGGCCGGCUGCACAACCACCUGGUGUGGCUACAGCAGCUGUCCUCAGAGCUUCAGCAGCACCCUGAGUUGUUGAAUGACUCAGACAGAAAGCUGAUGCAGAGCCUGAUGGAGGGAAACUACAGUCUUCCUAACAUCUCCACCCUGUUGGAGCAGCUUGACACCAUUGACAACGCUGCCUGUGGCUGGAUGCGCUUCAUGUCUAAGGUCAGUGUGGAUGUCUUCAAGGGCUUUCCUGACGAGGACAGCAUUGUCAACUACACCCUAAACCAGGCCUACCAGGACAACGUGUCUGUGUUUGCCAGUGUGAUUUUCCAGACUAACAAAGAUGGCUCCUUGCCACCCCACGUUCUGUACAAAAUUAGACAAAACUCCAGCUUUACAGAGAAGACCAAUGAAAUCAGACGAGCCUACUGGCGUCCUGGGCCCAACAUCGGGGGGAAAUUCUACUUCCUCUAUGGUUUUGUUUGGAUCCAAGAUAUGAUAGAGAGAGCCAUCAUCAACACGUUUGUGGGCCAUGAUGUGGUGGAGCCUGGUAACUACGUUCAGAUGUUCCCCUACCCAUGUUACACCAGAGACGAUUUUCUGUUUGUGAUUGAGCACAUGAUGCCUCUGUGCAUGGUCAUCUCCUGGGUUUACUCAGUAGCCAUGAUGAUUCAGCACAUUGUCGCUGAGAAGGAGCACCGGCUCAAAGAGGUGAUGAAGAUGAUGGGUCUAAACAAUGCUGUUCACUGGGUGGCUUGGUUUAUCACUGGCUUCGUCCAGCUGUCCAUCUCCGUUACAGCUCUGACGGCCAUCUUGAAGUAUGGCCGGGUGUUGCUCCACAGUGACCCCUUCAUUAUCUGGCUCUUCCUCACCAUCUACGCUGUGGCCACCAUCAUGUUCUGUUUUUUGGUGUCAGUAAUCUACUCUAAGGCCAAGCUGGCUUCAGCCUGUGGAGGAAUCGUCUAUUUCCUAAGCUACGUGCCCUACAUGUAUGUGGCCAUUAGAGAGGAGGUGGCCCAUGAUAAGAUCACUGCCUUUGAGAAGUGCAUCGCUUCUCUGAUGUCAACCACAGCCUUCGGCCUGGGCUCCAAGUAUUUUGCAUUGUAUGAGGUAGCAGGUGUGGGCAUUCAGUGGCGGACCAUCAGCCAGUCACCGGUAGAAGGCGAUGACUUUAACCUGGGUCUAUCCAUGAUGAUGCUCAUCAUCGAUGCCGGGGUGUAUGGUGUGCUCACUUGGUACAUAGAGGCCGUGCAUCCAGGAAUGUAUGGGCUGCCCCGACCAUGGUACUUUCCCCUGCAGAGGUCCUAUUGGUCAGGCAGUGGGCGUGUCGAGACCUGGGAUUGGCCAUGGUGUGGAGGCGGGGCUGCCAAGCUCAGUGUGAUGGAGGAGGAUCAGGCUUGUGCUAUGGACCAGCAGAGAUCUGAGGAGAUGCGGGGCAUGGAGGAGGAGCCGAGCCACUUGUCGUUGGUGGUCUGUAUAGACAAACUGACCAAGGUGUACAAGACUGGCACCAAACUGGCCCUCAACAAACUAAGCCUCAACCUCCAUGAAAACCAGGUAGUCUCUUUCCUGGGACACAACGGCGCUGGCAAGACCACGACCAUGUCCAUCCUGACAGGCUUGUUCCCACCCACCUCUGGCUCUGCCACCAUAUAUGGUCAUGACAUCCGUACGGAGAUGGAGCGGAUUCGUCAGAACCUGGGCAUGUGUCCACAGCACAAUGUCCUGUUUGACAAGCUGAGUGUGGAGGAGCACCUGUGGUUCUACUCCAGACUUAAAGGCAUGGCUGAAGAAGACUUACGCAAGGAGAUGGACAAGAUGAUUCUUGACCUGGAGUUAACCCACAAGCGCCACAGCUUGGUGCAGACUCUGUCUGGCGGGAUGAAAAGGAAGCUGUCUGUGGCCAUCGCCUUCAUUGGCGGCUCCAGAGCUGUCAUCCUGGAUGAACCCACAGCAGGGGUGGACCCCUACGCUCGCAGGGCCAUCUGGGACCUUAUCCUUAAGUACAAACAGGGCCGUACAAUUCUGCUGUCCACCCACCAUAUGGAUGAAGCAGACCUUCUGGGAGAUCGCAUUGCUAUCAUCUCACAUGGGAAACUCAAGUGCUGUGGCUCGCCACUCUUCCUGAAGAGCACCUACGGAGACGGAUACAAACUGACACUCGUCAAAAAGCAGAGUGAAGGCAGAGGACAGGGUAGCCAGCUGCAGCCUCCUCCGUCUCUGUCUCUAUCCUCCUCUCUGUCACUUUGCUCAGAAGCUCGCGUCACCCAGUUUAUUUGCCAGUUUGUGGCGUCCUGUCUGCUGGUGUCCGAUUCCAACACUGAGCUGUCCUACGUCCUGCCCUCCGAGGCCGUCAAGAAGGGCUGCUUCGAGAGGCUGUUCCAGGCUUUAGAGGAGAGCUUGGACAGCCUGUCCCUAACCAGCUUCGGAGUGAUGGACACUACCCUAGAGGAGGUUUUUCUCAAAGUGUCUGAGGAGGACCAGUCACUGGAGAACAGUGAUUCUGAUGCGGACAUGAAGGUUUCCCCAGGGGGCAGCUUACUGGGGAAAUCCUCAGUGGCUUCAGGAGACCUGGGGGUGCCACAGAGUGGACCUUCAGUAGAGAGUGAGAAGCCGGAAGUGGAGCUGAGUAAUCUGCUGAUGUGCUCCAGGCUGAGUCAGAGUCAGUCCUCCCUGAAAUCUUCCUCGUCCAUCGGCUCAGUGAGGGGGGAUGAAGGGGGACUCUACACCGACUUCUAUGGAGAUUAUUGUCCGCUCUUUGACAAUGGCCAAGAGUCUGACUCUGCCAGCAUGAGGGUGGAUGCAGAGAACCCCUCGUCCCCAGAGCCAGAGGUACUGGAAGGGCAGGGCAGCUUCAAGUUGGAGGGUUGGUGGUUAAAGCUAGGUCAGUUUCAUGGCCUCAUCAUCAAGAGGUUCCACUGUGCCAAGAGGAACACUAAGGGCCUCUUCUCUCAGAUCCUCCUGCCUGCCUUCUUCGUCUGUGUGGCCAUGACUGUGGCCUUAUCUGUGCCUGAGAUUGGAGAUUUGCCACCCCUGAUCUUGUCCCCAUCUCAGUAUCAUAACUAUACCCAACCUAGAGGCAACUUCAUUCCCUAUGCCAACGAAGACAGACCCCAGUACAGGAGCAAGCUGUCACCAGAUGCCAACCCACAAAAGAUCAUCAACACCCUCCGUCUGCCUUCGGGCGUGGGUGCUACCUGCGUCCUUAAAACCCCAUUCAACAGCACCCUGGACCAACUGGCUCAGACCCUUAACCCCAGUGCCAACAACUCCAAGACCCUGGCUGCCCGCUACUUUGACUCCAUGUGUCUGGACUCCUUCACUCAGGGGGUCCCCCUCUCGAACUUUGUACCCCCACCUCCUUCACCGGCACCUUCAGAUGACCCAGAUCCUCGCUUUGAGGAUGGACUGUGGAACUUCACAGUCGCCCCUCCAACAACAGUUGAUGAGCCUGUGACAUCUUCUCCAACCCUCCCCCUGUCCAUCCAUGAGCCGGUGCGUUGUACCUGCUCUAUGCAGGGGACAGGCUUCUCUUGCCCCAGUGGGGUGGGAGGACGGCCCCCUCUCAUGAAGGUGGUGACAGGUGACAUCGUGGUGGACAUCACAGGCAGGAAUGUCUCUGAGUACCUGCUUUUCACAUCAGACAGGCUGCGCCUGCACAGAUAUGGUGGUUUAACAGUGGGAAACAUCCAGAAAUCAAUCCCAGCAUCCUUUGGGAGAAAGAUACCUACAAUGAUUCGCAAGAUAGCAGUUCGUAGAUUAGCUCAGGUUCUGUACAACAACAAAGGUUACCACAGCAUGCCGACUUAUCUGAAUGUCCUCAACAAUGCCAUCCUGCGUGCCAACCUGCCUGCAUCCAAGGGCAACCCUGCUGCCUAUGGCUUCACACUGACAAACCACCCAAUGAAUCGAACCAGUGCCAGCCUCUCUUUGGACUACCUGCUCCAGGGAACAGACGUGGUGAUUGCCAUCUUCAUUAUUGUAGCCAUGUCCUUUGUGCCAGCCAGCUUUGUGGUUUUCUUGGUUGCAGAGAAAUCCACGAAGGCCAAACACCUACAAUUUGUCAGCGGCUGUGACCCUGUUAUCUACUGGCUAGCUAAUUACAUAUGGGACAUGCUGAACUACCUGGUACCUGCCACAUGCUGUGUUAUUAUUCUGUUUGUGUUUGACCUGCCGGCCUACACCUCCCCAACUAACUUCCCCGCUGUCCUCUCGCUCUUUCUUCUCUACGGGUGGUCCAUCACUCCCAUCAUGUACCCAGCAUCCUUCUGGUUCGAGGUACCCAGUACAGCCUACGUGUUCCUCAUAGUCAUCAACCUCUUCAUAGGCAUCACUGCAACUGUUGCCACUUUCCUACUCCAGCUCUUUGAACAUGAUAAGGAUCUGAAAAAAGUCAACAGUUACCUGAAGUCCUGUUUCCUUAUCUUCCCCAACUACAACCUGGGCCAUGGCCUGAUGGAGAUGGCCUACAAUGAGUACAUCAAUGAAUACUACGCUAAAAUAGGCCAGUUUGACAAGAUGAAGUCUCCAUUUGAGUGGGACAUUGUGACCCGAGGACUAGUUGCCAUGACAAUCGAAGGCUUUGUUGGCUUUCUCAUUACCAUCCUCUGCCAGUACAACUUCCUCAGGAAACCCACGAGGGUGCCAGUCAGCUGCCAGCCUAUAGACGAUGAUGAUGUAGACGUGGCUUGUGAAAGACGAAGAGUGUUGCAAGGAGACGCUGACAACGACAUGCUGAAGAUCGAGAACCUGACAAAGGUGUAUAAAUCCAGGAAGAUGGGUCAUAUCCUGGCAGUGGACCGGCUGUGUCUGGGUGUCCGGCCUGGUGAGUGUUUCGGACUGCUAGGAGUAAAUGGAGCUGGAAAGACUACCACCUUCAAGAUGCUAACUGGAGAUGAGUGCACCACUGGAGGAGAGGCCUUCAUCGAUGGAAACAGUAUCCUGAAGGACCUUUUACGUGUGCAGCAGAGUAUCGGCUACUGUCCCCAGUUUGACGCUCUGUUUGAUGACCUGACAGCCAGGGAACAUCUGGAGCUUUACACCCGCCUCCGUGGCAUUCCCUGGAAAGACCAGGAAAGGGUGGUGCAGUGGGCAUUAGAAAAACUGGAAUUGUCAAAGUAUGCAGACAAGCCUGCUGGGACUUACAGUGGAGGAAACAAACGCAAACUUUCCACUGCCAUCGCUCUGAUUGGAUAUCCCUCACUCAUCUUCCUUGAUGAACCGACCACUGGCAUGGACCCAAAGGCCCGCAGAUUUCUCUGGAACUUAAUCCUGGACGUUAUAAAGACUGGACGCUCAGUAGUGCUGACAUCACACAGCAUGGAAGAGUGUGAGGCUUUGUGCACCAGAUUGGGCAUUAUGGUCAACGGCAGGUUUAAAUGUCUGGGCAGUAUCCAACAUCUCAAGAACAGGUUUGGGGAUGGCUACAUGAUCACAGUGAGGACUAAGAGCAGUUCGAAUCUGAAGGAGGUGGUUAGAUUCUUCAGCAGAAACUUCCCUGAGGCCGUACUAAAGGAGCGUCACCACACCAAGGUCCAGUACCAGUUGAAGUCUGAGCGGAUCUCACUGGCUCAGGUCUUUAGUAAGAUGGAGCAGGUGAUGGAGGUGUUGGGCAUCGAGGACUACUCUGUCAGUCAGACCACUCUGGACAAUGUGUUUGUCAACUUUGCCAAGAAGCAGAGUGACAAUCUGGAGCAGCAGGAGACGACGUCCUCAGGUGGUGGACAGUCUCCCCUGCAGCGCAUCUUCAACCUGCUGAAGUCUCGGCCUGCCAACACAGAGCUCAAUGCUCUGAUCAGCGAGGCACCGGAGGAACUGGAGAGCGACGAUGAUGAAGGACUCAUCAGCUUUGAAGAGGAAAGGGUGCAGCUCUCCUUCAACACAGACACUCUCUGUUAAAAUGAGCCCCUUCAAAAGAGCAGAGACGAGGAGAGUGACAGAGUGGGAAAACCAAAACCUCUCUCUGAGCUCUGAGGCUUGGAGGGAGAAGAGAACAGCUGAUUUAACCCUGAAGAGGACCAAAACUCUCUGCACCAUGGAACAUAGGACCAGUAGUUCAGUAUUUCAGCCUCAAUUGAUAACGUGCAGAGUCCAGCCUAUAGGUAGAGACACAGCAGAAGGAGUGCUUGAAUUUGGAUUGAAGACUUUGUCCUGGAAAGUUCUCAUAUUUAUUUUUGUUGAGAAUGUAUCUUAUUAAAUGGAUGAUGAAUACAGUAGGUUAGCUACUUUUGUUAGUAAAUGAACAUAUCAUUGGUGAUAUGUUAAAAACCAAGUGUUUGACAGCACAGGUUACUUUGAGUUGGUUGUACUCCCAACCAAAAGGCCUCAUGACACCAGAGUGGGCCCUUGUCACAGUACCAAAUUAGACCUGCCUUGAGAGCAUGCUGUGAUGAAGUUUAUGUAGUCUAUUUUUCUGUGGCAAGAAAAAUAAUUUAUUUGGAUAUCGAAGCAGAUGUGAUGUGUGUGAUUUAUUUUGCAGUAACAGAGGAUUUAGUGAAAUGCACCUUGGGAAGUGCCAGAUGUGGACAUGCAUGCUGUUGGCCUUUUCUUUUAACUUGAUGUCAGAGACAUGGAGAGAAUGUACAUGGCACGGUUAUUGUCUUGAUGGUGUCUCCCCUCUAUCAACUUGUUUUGACACUUGACAUUUGGUCUCUUUCUACUAAAUACUCUCUUUUGUUCUUUUAACAUAUUAUUAUGUUGUGGACUCUGCCAAGAAGAUCCUCUACCGGACACAGUGUAUAAUAAUAAUAAUAAUAAUAAUAAUAAUCUAACAGUCUGAAACUGCAGUGAACUCUGCUUAUAUUCCCUGACAAUAACUGCACUACCAUCACUGUGAAGGGAACUCUCAGAUCAGAAUAAUCUAUUGAGUACAAUAUAUGUUUUAUUAUUUGCAGAUGUAUUUGUAAUGUGAUAGUUGAGUGUAACCUGUCCUGUCAAAAAUAACUGUUUCAUUACUUCUUUCACAGCUAAUUGCAGUUAUAUUUUUGGUGACUAUUAUGGCACUGGUGGGCUGUUUACUGAUACUGUUAAUUGAAGGGGUUCAUUAAACACGGAAAACUGACUUGUAA